GAUCUUCUCCUUCAUGGGAGAUGAUUGAAAGAUGGUUUCGGCUAUCACUUACAGAUGGGCCCGCGGUGCAUUAGCUAGUUGGUGAGGUAACGGCUCACCAAGGCAACGAUGCAUAGCCGACCUGAGAGGGUGAUCGGCCACACUGGGACUGAGACACGGCCCAGACUCCUACGGGAGGCAGCAGUAGGGAAUCUUCCGCAAUGGACGAAAGUCUGACGGAGCAACGCCGCGUGAGUGAUGAAGGCUUUCGGGUCGUAAAACUCUGUUGUUAGGGAAGAACAAGUACAAGAGUAACUGCUUGUACCUUGACGGUACCUAACCAGAAAGCCACGGCUAACUACGUGCCAGCAGCCGCGGUAAUACGUAGGUGGCAAGCGUUAUCCGGAAUUAUUGGGCGUAAAGCGCGCGCAGGCGGUUUCUUAAGUCUGAUGUGAAAGCCCACGGCUCAACCGUGGAGGGUCAUUGGAACUGGGGAACUUGAGUGCAGAAGAGAAAAGCGGAAUUCCACGUGUAGCGGUGAAAUGCGUAGAGAUGUGGAGGAACACCAGUGGCGAAGGCGGCUUUUUGGUCUGUAACUGACGCU
RNAcentral lists this ribosomal RNA (583 nucleotides) under Priestia megaterium. RNAcentral describes it as "bacterial SSU rRNA". It matches the Rfam family "Bacterial small subunit ribosomal RNA", at positions 173 to 747 of the family's 1533-position model. The record is from RNAcentral. Lineage: Bacteria; Bacillati; Bacillota; Bacilli; Caryophanales; Bacillaceae.